Molecule: long non-coding RNA, 834 nt
Organism: Salvelinus sp. IW2-2015
Lineage: Eukaryota; Metazoa; Chordata; Actinopteri; Salmoniformes; Salmonidae
Source: RefSeq, a predicted model, not a curated record
AACAUCUUCUGCUCUGGCUGCAGCUGGGAGGGACUGCUGCAUGAGGACUGGGCCGCCUGUGAGUGCUUUGGGACGGACUUUCACGUCAGUCUCCAAGUCUCCAAUAGCACCAGAAAAAGUCGCUAGAUUUGUCGCUAGUCGCUUUUUUGAAAAUGUGUCGCUAGAGGGGUCUGAAUACUCGCUAAAUAUAGCGACUUAAUCGCUAAAUUGGCAACACUGAGUGUCUUAGGUUAUGAGAUUGCGUGUGUGAGAGCAAGCAAUUUACACUUGAGAGCUGUUAAUCCACCGUGGGUCCAACGUUACUUUAGAUUGACAUGAGAACGUUAGCUUCUUGCUAGCUGAAUACCAGUGCUCUCAGAACCACGUUGUGGAGUUGAUAACAUCAUUUGAAGCUGCUGUAUGGGUCUUGGAUGUUAGUGGCGGUCUAGCUGACCUCUGGGACGGGCAUCCCUGAACGACAAGCCCCUGGUGCCUGGGGGGAGGGGGGCAGGCUGAGCUCCAGCACACCCUCCAACUGGUCGGAGCAGCAGCAGAGAUACUCCUGUUUGAGGACAGAGCAGUAAAGAAAUUGUCUAGGAAGGGUGAAAUGAAAAGCUGUAAACCAUCAAACUUAGAGUCCUCACCAACCAAGGCUCAGAGAAAACAAUUACAUUUGUACUAUGUUUUUAAACCAGUUUGCUUCCUUAUUGAAUAAAGGAGGCCUUUUUUCUUUACCUUGUGGAAUGAACGACUAGAUUGUACUUCCAGGGAGAAGCCAGACAAACAAGGAAAAUACAAGUAUAUAUUUUUUUAUCAAAUAAAAUGUUAUUUGUCACAUGCUUCUUAAACAGAAGG